GCUACUUCACGCGGAAGGCCGCAACCGUCGACGUGGCGGACUGCCCUCAGAAGCCUGGGGAGCUGCGGGUGGACACGGAGGGGGGGCCUCCAGAGCUGGAGGAGCCGUCAUGCGAGGGCCUU
This 122-nucleotide ribosomal RNA is filed under the name Alexandrium tamarense. RNAcentral's name for it is "partial 5.8S ribosomal RNA". The record is from RNAcentral. Lineage: Eukaryota; Dinophyceae; Gonyaulacales; Pyrocystaceae.